RNAcentral lists this ribosomal RNA (440 nucleotides) under uncultured bacterium. Its description in RNAcentral is "partial 16S ribosomal RNA". It matches the Rfam family "Bacterial small subunit ribosomal RNA", at positions 338 to 795 of the family's 1533-position model. The record is from RNAcentral.
CCUACGGGAGGCAGCAGUGGGGAAUAUUGCACAAUGGGGGAAACCCUGAUGCAGCGACGCCGCGUGAGUGAAGAAGUAUUUCGGUAUGUAAAGCUCUAUCAGCAGGGAAGAAAAUGACGGUACCUGUUUAAGAAGCCCCGGCUAACUACGUGCCAGCAGCCGCGGUAAUACGUAGGGGGCAAGCGUUAUCCGGCUUUACUGGGUGUAAAGGGAGCGUAGACGGCAGCACAAGUCUGGAGUGAAAUGCCGGGGCUUAACCCCGGAACUGCUUUGGAAACUGUGCAGCUAGAGUGCAGGAGAGGUAAGUGGAAUUCCUAGUGUAGCGGUGAAAUGCGUAGAUAUUAGGAGGAACACCAGUGGCGAAGGCGGCUUACUGGACUGUAACUGACGUUGAGGCUCGAAAGCGUGGGGAGCAAACAGGAUUAGAUACCCCAGUAGUC